GUACAGUUUUAAGCAUAAGUGUGGUAAAAACACAUGUUUAGUAGAUUUUCUAAGAGAAAAUAAGUUACUACAUUCUUUGUACAGAACACACUAAAUAUGGCACUUUUUCUGCACAUUGUAGGGCGUAAUAUCUAUUUAUUUGCUGCACUGAAAUUUUGGAAAAAUUUGUUUCCAGUAAUCAGUUUUAAUUCAAUUCUAGUUUAAAGAGAUAAGUUUUUAGGUGCUUCUUAAAAGUGAGCACUGAGCUUGACUGUCUAAUAAGUGGUAGUAUUGAAUUUCACAAAUUAGAUGCUUAAUAACUGAAAGAGGCCUCUAAGUUUUUUCUGUAUUUUACAGAGGGUAUUUGUAGAAGGCCACUAUCUACAGAUAAGUCUAAUGUCAAAUACUGUGAUCUUACAUAUUUGACAUAUCAUCCACCAUUUAAUGGAGGUCACAUGACAUGAGCCCUGUGAACUGAAUCGACAUAGAAUUCAGGCAGGGCUGGGUUGCUCUUCCUGAAGGAGUGAAAGCAGAAGGAGACCGACUACACUUCCUGAAAUCGACCCCUGACCUCAAUGGCCUCUACAUCUGUAUAGCAGAGAAUGAGCUUGGAACUGCAGCAGGUUCACUGUAUCGAUAUAAUAGACGCACAUGACGAGCUUUGAAGAGGAGAGGCGGGAAUGGGCUCUACCAGAAGAUAUUUCUCUACCUGAAGUGAAAUUUGCACUUUCCUUCAAAUUAUAGUAUUACAGUAAAUGGUUUAGCAUUUCUGUUUAUUUAACCAAACUUUACACAAUGGUAAAAAAAUAAAACAUGUUUUAACAUUUGCACAGGCCAGAGUUUGUGUUUCUCAAUAUGCUAAAUUCAGACAAUAAAUAGUAAUUUUGCAUAAAAAUGUACAGAUGUGUGUUCUUUUUUCAGACUAGUUUGACCAUACAGGUUGAUAGCAAUGACAUUUUGCCAAACAAGCGAUAUGCAUAAUGUGUUUGCCGCUGUGAUUUGUAAACGUCUUGGAAGAAUCAUAGCAGAAAA
Long non-coding RNA from Pygocentrus nattereri (red-bellied piranha), 1011 nucleotides. RefSeq lists it as uncharacterized. NCBI's taxonomy places the organism in Eukaryota, Metazoa, Chordata, Actinopteri, Characiformes, Serrasalmidae. The transcript has 2 exons. The record is from RefSeq and is a predicted model, not a curated record.